Small nuclear RNA from Loxodonta africana (African savanna elephant), 107 nucleotides. NCBI's taxonomy places the organism in Eukaryota, Metazoa, Chordata, Mammalia, Proboscidea, Elephantidae. The record is from Ensembl.
GUGCUUGCUUUGGCAGCACAUAGACUAAAAUUGGAAUGAUACAGAGAAGAUUAGCAUGGCCCCUGUGUCAGGAUGACAUGCAAAUUCAUGAAGUGUUCCAUAAUUUU